Epinephelus fuscoguttatus (brown-marbled grouper) is the source of this 2373-nucleotide long non-coding RNA. RefSeq lists it as uncharacterized. Lineage: Eukaryota; Metazoa; Chordata; Actinopteri; Perciformes; Serranidae. The record is from RefSeq and is a predicted model, not a curated record. The transcript is spliced from 3 exons.
GCAGAUUAUAUUAUGAAAUCAUUAUGCGUCAUUUACACACAGUGUACCGGAAGUCAGUACUUAUACAUCAACUUUGUAGUUUUACAGCAACCUCAGUAGGGAGAACAAAGCAAAAUGGAGUAAGUAAGGAAUGAACUGCCAAGCUCAACGUAUAAGCCAAAGUGGAUGACAGGUGCUCAGAAUAAUGUAAAGUUGCCAACUGAGCAAACUUCACCUGCUGAUGAAGACCAUGUGAUGUGGUCAGAAGUUUUGGAACAAGUGAGACUCCAUGCUCCUCCUCCAUCUGUGCUGCGGCUGCUGUCUUCGUCUUUGCAGGCAGGGGACGGCCACUGUAUCUUAGUGUUUCCUGGAAUAACACCACCUAAAGUGUGUUAAAAGAGAAACAGUAGAACAGGAAGUAAUAUUUCAGCAAGUAAUUUUCAUUCGUACUGAUUCUUUCUUGAAACAAUAUUCACUUUCCUUCAAGAGGAUAACCUCACCUUUUUCCGGUUUAAAGAAAUGUUUUACUGGUACAUUAACUGAAAAGCAAAACCCACAAUUUGUGGCAAUACUAUGAUGUUAGCAUCUUGAGACAGAAUAUGAGGCUGAGUGAUUUAAGAUGGACAUUCUUUGUAGUGAGAGAAACACACUUGGAUGCGGAAUAUAAAGGUGGUCAUUCUGAGCAGCUCACUGACACUGAGUAACUGACAUAAUCAAAGAGACUCGGUCAACAAGACCCACACAGGCAAGCUACCCUAACACAGUCACAGCGAUCCAGUAAUAAUAGCAUGUACAGCACAGCUCCAAGCACUAACCCAUCAAAAAAAUACAUGGAUGUAAUAGUCACCAAUUAGUUUGUGACACAAGAUGUUACACACAGAAACACAGCAUACAAACACAUCAGUCUACAGCCUCAAAUAGAGAUGAUGUUGUUCAUACAGAUGCAGAUUAAAACAUAUACACAUAUGCAGUGUGUGUGCAUUUCUUUCCAGAAUCACAAAACCAAAUCACACAGAAAAUUAUUGGUGCCAGGAGGUAAACAUGUGAUACAUUAAACUGUUUACAUCCUCAGAUCUACUGAGAAAUAGAGCCUCUCUCACUGAACCAGAUCUGACUGAAUCAAACUACAGCUCUUUUUGUUUGACAGCCAGAAAAAGGAAAGCUACUCACUCUAAGUCUCCACCUUUUACAUGUAUUUCCUAUCAAACACUGGCUCAUUUAAUUACAAACACGUGCCAUUUGAAUGCUUCUUUACGUCAUUUUGACCAUCUGCUGUUUGACAUUUGUUGUAUGCAUCCCAAAAUGGUGGAAUUUGAAAGAUACUAAAUGAAAUAUUCAGGAAGAUGACUGUUGGCAGGCUGCAUGGACUCUUGAUGUAACUCACCCAUACAACUCAUCAGACACAUGUGGUACAUAUGGUUUUUAAAGGGGACCUGAUAUGUCCAUUAUCAGGUUUGUACUUGUGUUUGGGGUUUUUACUACUUACGCUUUACUCUUCAUACAGUCUGUGCCGAUUCAGUGCCUGUCUCUUUAAGCCCCUCCCCCCUUAAAAAAGGACCGUCUUGAUCCAGUUACAAACAAACUCUGGUGCAGUUCAUUUGUGGUGAGAACGUGUUCCGACCUGGAUCUCAACCAACUGCAGUCACAUGACACAUUGUUUGGGUUAAACAUGAGCAUGUUACAGUCCUGGAGGAUUAUUAAUGUGCACCUCCUCCUGUACUGCCUUAAUAUGCACAUUCAGCACAUCCAAUGCAUCAAAACAUUGUUUUCUAGUUGGAGCCGCGCCUCGUUUUCAAACUGUAUGGUUUGACUAAAAUGAACAAUGACAGCAAUAUAGUCCACGAUGAGCAGCGCUAAAAUCAACCUGCGUAGUUGUCCCUCCAUUGUGACAUUAGAAAGUGUCACAUUUAUCUUGCAAGUGUACUCUUCUUCAACAUUUUGUUUACUUCCUGGAUUUUUCCCACAUGGAAAUUCUGACCAAUCAAGAGCAGCUUUCUCACGCAAGGCAUUUGAUCUGGUCCACUUGUAAAUGCUGCCGUGAGAACAUGAACCAACUCUAGACAAUUAUACAGCUUUGUAACAAAUUAGUCCCUGAUUCAGACCAAAGCAAGACAACUCUAGGUCUGAAAGCACCCUUAGUCACAGUUGAUUAAGCGCAUUAUUAGACAUGAUCACUUCUGAGCUUUUUUCAACUACACUAGUCCGUCAGUUUCACCAGUAAUUUGGUCCUGGUCUGAUAAGUCACACUGUGAACAGCUCCCUGUUGCUAUCAUGCAGAAUAAUUACAGGUUAAGGGAUGAUCCAAAGCAUAUGUUGCUCUAAUGGGCAUCGUGUGUGUUUCUGAGGGUAAAAUACAGAAUAUAUCUCUCAACUGUCAGGUAUGCACAUGUUGUG